CUUUGUUAUCGACUGUCGCGACCGUGGAUCCGACACUUUCUUUAGAGUGCCUCAGGCUCUCCCACCGAAAUCCUAUCCCGCCACGUCCUCGUUGUGCAAAGUGGUGUAACUUCCCCCACCCCAUAUCCAAGCUUGGAUGCACGGGCCAGUCACAACCCCCUGGGCCGAUGGUGUAGCAUGGCUAAACAGGAGGAG
Molecule: ribozyme, 195 nt
Filed under: Anopheles stephensi (Asian malaria mosquito)
Lineage: Eukaryota; Metazoa; Arthropoda; Insecta; Diptera; Culicidae
Description: drz-agam-2-2 ribozyme
Rfam family: drz-agam-2-2 ribozyme
Source: Rfam by way of RNAcentral